This 391-nucleotide ribosomal RNA is filed under the name uncultured bacterium. Its description in RNAcentral is "bacterial SSU rRNA". It matches the Rfam family "Bacterial small subunit ribosomal RNA", at positions 29 to 415 of the family's 1533-position model. The record is from RNAcentral.
AACGAACGCUGGCGGCGUGCUUAACACAUGCAAGUCGAACGCGAAAGUUUUCUUCGGAAGACGAGUAGAGUGGCGCACGGGUGAGUAACGCGUAAGUAAUCUGCCCUGGUAUCCGGGAUAACCCACCGAAAGGUGUGCUAAUACGGGAUACGCUGAUUUAUCAGGAAAGGUGGCCUCUUCAUGAAAGCUACUGUACCAGGAGGAGCUUGCGUACCAUUAGCUAGUUGGUAGGGUAAUGGCCUACCAAGGCGACGAUGGUUAGCGGGUCUGAGAGGAUGAUCCGCCACACUGGAACUGAAACACGGACCAGACUCCUACGGGAGGCAGCAGUGAGGAAUAUUGCGCAAUGGGGGAAACCCUGACGCAGCGACGCCGCGUGGAUGAUGAAGGC